RNAcentral lists this ribosomal RNA (436 nucleotides) under uncultured fungus. Its description in RNAcentral is "eukaryotic LSU rRNA". It matches the Rfam family "Eukaryotic large subunit ribosomal RNA", at positions 1 to 432 of the family's 3401-position model. The record is from RNAcentral. Lineage: Eukaryota; Fungi.
GAUCUCAAAUGAAGCAAGAGUACCCGCUGAACUUAAGCAUAUUAUUAAGCGGAGGAAAAGAAACUAACAAGGAUGCCCUCAGUAACGGCGAGUGAAGCGGGCAAGCUCAACCUGAAAAUCUGGCAUCCAAACGGGUGUCUGAAUUGUGGGCUAGAGACGCGUGAUCAGUGUGUGACCCAGGCAUAAAUCUUUUGAAACAAGGUAUCAUAGAGGGUGAGAAUCCCGUCUGUGACUAGGAGUUCGCCGCGUACGAUCCGCGUUCGCAGAGUCGAGUUGUUUGGGAUUGCAGCUCUAAAUGGGUGGUAAAUUUCAUCUAAAGCUAAAUAUCGACGAGAGACCGAUAGCGAACAAGUACCGUGAGGGAAAGAUGAAAAGAACUUUGAAAAGAGAGUUAAAAAGUACUUGAAAUUGCUAAGAGGGAAGCACUGGAAACCAG